GAAGCAACGCGAAGAACCUUACCAGGUCUUGACUAUCCCGAUGUCUACUUCUUAGAGAUAGAAAGUUACUUCGGUACAUCGGUGACAGGUGGUGCAUGGUUGUCGUCAGCUCGUGUCGUGAGAUGUUGGGUUAAGUCCCGCAACGAGCGCAACCCCUAUUGUUAGUUGCCAUCAUUCAGUUGGGCACUCUAGCGAGACUGCCGGUAAUAAACCGGAGGAAGUGGGAUGACGUCAAAUCAUCAUGCCCCUUAUGACCUGGGCUACACACGUGCUACAAUGGUUGGUACAACGAGUUGCGAGUCGGUGACGGCGAGCUAAUCUCUUAAAGCCAAUCUCAGUUCGGAUUGUAGGCUGCAACUCGCCUACAUGAAGUCGGAAUCGCUAGUAAUCGCGGAUCAGCACGCCGCGGUGAAUACGUUCCCGGGCCUU
This 429-nucleotide ribosomal RNA is filed under the name uncultured Streptococcus sp. Its description in RNAcentral is "bacterial SSU rRNA". It matches the Rfam family "Bacterial small subunit ribosomal RNA", at positions 953 to 1382 of the family's 1533-position model. The record is from RNAcentral. Lineage: Bacteria; Bacillati; Bacillota; Bacilli; Lactobacillales; Streptococcaceae.